RNAcentral lists this ribosomal RNA (687 nucleotides) under uncultured bacterium. RNAcentral's name for it is "bacterial SSU rRNA". It matches the Rfam family "Bacterial small subunit ribosomal RNA", at positions 63 to 762 of the family's 1533-position model. The record is from RNAcentral.
UGAGCGGAGAUAUAUGGAGCUUGCUUUAUAUAACUUAGCAGCGAACGGGUGAGUAACACGUAGAUAAUCUAUCCUAUACUGGGGGAUAGCCCGAUGAAAGUUGGAUUAAUACCGCAUAUAGCUAUAUAGUUGCAUGAUUAUGUAGUGAAAGAUUUAUUGGUAUAGGAGGAGUCUGCGGCACAUUAGCUAGUAGGUGAGGUAAAGGCUUACCUAGGCGACGAUGUGUAGCCGGUCUGAGAGGAUGAACGGCCACAAUGGAACUGAGACACGGUCCAUACUCCUACGGGAGGCAGCAGUGGGGAAUAUUGCACAAUGGGGUAAACCCUGAUGCAGCAACGCCGCGUGAGUGAAGAAGGUUUUCGGAUUGUAAAGCUCUGUUAGCAGGGAAGAGGAAGGACGGUACCUGCAGAGGAAGCCACGGCUAACUACGUGCCAGCAGCCGCGGUAAUACGUAGGUGGCAAGCGUUGUUCGGAAUAACUGGGCGUAAAGGAUGCGUAGGCGGUUAAACAAGUUAUAUGUUAAAUAUAUAGGCUUAACCUGUAGAAAGCAUAUAAAACUGUUUAACUAGAGUGCAGGAGAGGUAAGUGGAAUUCCUAGUGUAGCGGUGAAAUGCGUAGAGAUUAGGAAGAACACCAGUGGCGAAGGCGACUUACUGGACUGUAACUGACGCUGAGGCAUGAGAGCAU